GUGGCGCACGGGUGAGUAACACGUAAGUAAUCUACCCUCGGGUGGGGAAUAACGUCGGGAAACCGACGCUAAUACCGCAUAAUGCAGCGGCACCGCAAGGUGACAGUUGUUAAAGGAGUAAUUCGCCUGGGGAGGAGCUUGCGGCAGAUUAGCUAGUUGGUAAGGUAAUGGCUUACCAAGGCAACGAUCUGUAACCGGUCUAAGAGGACGGUCGGUCACACUGACACUGAAUAACGGGUCAGACUCCUACGGGAGGCAGCAGUCGGGAAUUUUGGGCAAUGGGCGAAAGCCUGACCCAGCAACGCCGCGUGAAGGAUGAAGUAUUUCGGUAUGUAAACUUCGUAAAAAUAGGAAGAAUAAAUGACGGUACUAUUUGUAAGGUCCGGCUAACUACGUGCCAGCAGCCGCGGUAAUACGUAGGGACCAAGCGUUGUUCGGAUUUACUGGGCGUAAAGGGCGCGUAGGCGGCGUGACAAGUCACUUGUGAAAUCUCCGGGCUUAACUCGGAACGGCCAAGUGAUACUGUCGUGCUAGAGUGCAGAAGGGGCAAUCGGAAUUCUUGGUGUAGCGGUGAAAUGCGUAGAUAUCAAGAGGAACACCUGAGGUGAAGACGGGUUGCUGGGCUGACACUGACGCUGAGGCGCGAAAGCUAGGGGAGCAAACGGGAUUAGAUACCCCGGUAGUCCUAGCCCUAAACGAUGAAUACUUGGUGUCUGGAGUUUUUAUCCUCCGGGUGCCGUCGCUAACGUUUUAAGUAUUCCGCCUGGGGAGUACGCACGCAAGUGUGAAA
Molecule: ribosomal RNA, 790 nt
Filed under: uncultured bacterium
Lineage: Bacteria
Description: bacterial SSU rRNA
Rfam family: Bacterial small subunit ribosomal RNA
Source: RNAcentral